GCGGGAUUAGCUCAGUUGGUAGAGCGUCAGCUUCCCAAGCUGAAUGUCGUCGGUUCGAGCCCGAUAUCCCGCU
This 73-nucleotide transfer RNA is filed under the name Myxococcales bacterium. Its description in RNAcentral is "tRNA-Gly". It matches the Rfam family "tRNA". From Rfam's summary of the family: Transfer RNA (tRNA) molecules are approximately 80 nucleotides in length. The record is from RNAcentral. Lineage: Bacteria; Pseudomonadati; Myxococcota; Myxococcia; Myxococcales.